GACGGAGGGUGCUAGCGUUGUUCGGAAUCACUGGGCGUAAAGGGCGCGUAGGCGGCUCUGGCAGUCGGUUGGUGAAAGCCCGGGGCUCAACCCCGGAGGUGCGGCCGAAACACCAGGGCUGGAGGCCGGAAGAGGAGGGUGGAAUACCCAGUGUAGAGGUGAAAUUCGUAGAUAUUGGGUGGAACACCGGUGGCGAAAGCGGCUCUCUGGUCCGGACCUGACGCUGAGGCGCGAAAGCGUGGGGAGCAAACAGG
This 254-nucleotide ribosomal RNA is filed under the name uncultured bacterium. RNAcentral describes it as "partial 16S ribosomal RNA". It matches the Rfam family "Bacterial small subunit ribosomal RNA", at positions 524 to 776 of the family's 1533-position model. The record is from RNAcentral.